GCCAGGCAUGGUGUGCAUACCUGUAAUCCCAGCUACUUGGGAGGUGGAGGCAGGAGAACCCCAAGUUUGAUGCCAGCCUCAGCAACUUUUGAGACCCUGCCUCAA
Molecule: small RNA, 105 nt
Filed under: Marmota monax (woodchuck)
Lineage: Eukaryota; Metazoa; Chordata; Mammalia; Rodentia; Sciuridae
Source: RNAcentral